UACGGAGGGUGCAAGCGUUGUUCGGAAUUACUGGGCGUAAAGGGCGCGUAGGCGCCCGGCCAGUCUCUCGUGAAAUCCCACGGCUCAACUGUGGAACUGCGGGAGAUACUGCCAGGCUUGAGUUCGGGAGAGGGUAGUGGAAUUCCCAGUGUAGCGGUGAAAUGCGUAGAUAUUGGGAGGAACACCGGUGGCGAAGGCGGCUACCUGGACCGGUACUGACGCUGAGGCGCGAAAGCUAGGGGAGCAAACGGGAUUAGAUACCCUUGUA
This 268-nucleotide ribosomal RNA is filed under the name uncultured prokaryote. RNAcentral's name for it is "partial 16S ribosomal RNA". It matches the Rfam family "Bacterial small subunit ribosomal RNA", at positions 524 to 792 of the family's 1533-position model. The record is from RNAcentral.